UCCUUCCUCUAAUACAGCAGCACUAUGAGGCAGAGUGUGGUUGUGGUUGACAUAAGCGUUAUAAUAUUAGGAGGGAUGAGAAAGCACUGUGAUACCUAAUGACUUCGGGUGUGUUUUAUGUGACAAAUAUGAGGACCUUGGAAAACACAAUGAUCCAAUAUGGUAUUUUUCUCCAGAGUUUACUAAUUACACACUUCUCAUGUCAGAUUGAUCUGAAUCAUUUUAAAAUUUAGAAUUGUAUUUUUCAAUUCCUCAACUAACUAAAUGCGCUUUCUGAUAUACUGCAGCUAGUCCAGCUUUGCAAUAUUUCUUAUGUUUUCAUGCGCUUCUACUCAUGAUGUAUUUUUUCCAAAGUUUCUAAGACACCAGACUCCAGCAGGUAUGUACACCGAACCCCAAAUCAUUUUUAAACCGUUAAAACCUGACUGUUCACACAGUAUGGACACCCACAACCAAAUACUGGCAGAAUACGAAAUGAUCCUCCUGCUCCUUACUUCUCUCUGAAUAUCAGGCCCCUGGAAUCAGCCGUUUUCUUCUUCUAAUCAACAUCAGAGAACAUGAUGGGAGGUCCUUUCUGCAGAACAUCUGUUUAACCUCCCACCUCCCACUAUGAAAAGAGGCUCAGUCAUUUUGCUGUGGCUGCUUCUCAUGUCAUCAACAUGGUUACAAUGACUCCACUUCUCAUCGCACUCGUAGCAUCGUCGCUGAUGCUUCAAGGUCACUGCCAAGGUGUGACCCAACACCCGGAAAUCAUCUGGAGUUCUGUUUCCAAAUCUGCGGAGAUGAACUGCAGCCACAACAAAGAUGCCGGUCACAACCAGAUGUACUGGUACAGACAGCGUCCAGGAGAGUCCAUGACCCUCGUGGUCUACACAGUUUAUGGUGGACAGCCAGAUUACGGAGAGCUCCCUCAGACCAAAUAUUCAGCUGUCAAAGAAAGCUCUGAGAGCGGCGCUCUUACAGUGAAGGACUUGCAGCUGGAGGAUGCCGGCGUGUAUUUUUGUGCUGUCAGCAAACACAGUGAUGUGAGAAGGAAAAGCCACUGAACAAAAACUGGUUGCCAGCACAUUCGGGGAGUGUUGCAGGAUUGUAAAUAUUUCCAAUAGGUGGAGCUGGAGCUGCAGAGAUACACA
This is a non-coding RNA of Pungitius pungitius (ninespine stickleback), 1133 nucleotides long. The record is from the annotation of a RefSeq genome assembly. NCBI's taxonomy places the organism in Eukaryota, Metazoa, Chordata, Actinopteri, Perciformes, Gasterosteidae.